RNAcentral lists this ribosomal RNA (274 nucleotides) under uncultured bacterium. RNAcentral describes it as "partial 16S ribosomal RNA". It matches the Rfam family "Bacterial small subunit ribosomal RNA", at positions 523 to 796 of the family's 1533-position model. The record is from RNAcentral.
AUACGGGGGGGGCUAGCGUUGUUCGGAAUUACUGGGCGUAAAGGGCGCGUAGGCGGACAAUCAAGUCAGAGGUGAAAGGCCUGGGCUCAACCCGGGAACUGCCUUUGAAACUGAAGGUCUAGAGUCCGAGAGAGGAUAGCGGAAUUCCCAGUGUAGAGGUGAAAUUCGUAGAUAUUGGGAAGAACACCAGUGGCGAAGGCGGCUAUCUGGCUCGGAACUGACGCUGAGGCGCGAAAGCGUGGGGAGCAAACAGGAUUAGAAACCCCAGUAGUCC